AAGGGCCGCUCGUAUUCUCCGGUUCUGAGCGCGCCGCCCGGACCCACCUGAGGAUUGCUCUCUACGUCUUCUUGGCG
RNAcentral lists this small RNA (77 nucleotides) under Xanthomonas prunicola. Its description in RNAcentral is "sX9 sRNA". It matches the Rfam family "Xanthomonas sRNA sX9". Lineage: Bacteria; Pseudomonadati; Pseudomonadota; Gammaproteobacteria; Lysobacterales; Lysobacteraceae. The record is from RNAcentral.